Molecule: long non-coding RNA, 2347 nt
Organism: Benincasa hispida (wax gourd)
Lineage: Eukaryota; Viridiplantae; Streptophyta; Magnoliopsida; Cucurbitales; Cucurbitaceae
Source: RefSeq, a predicted model, not a curated record
AUUCGAGCAAUCUUUCCAACACAAAUACAACAUACUUUAGUUACAAAAAUAGCAAGAACAACACAUAUGAGGAAGAAAGCAUGAAAAUAUGCACUUCAAUCAUGGUUUUCCAUUGCCGCAGAAACUUACAAAGAUUUUUCCUGCGUUGUUUAAGAUUCCAGCUGAACCAGAAGCAUAGUUGACGCCUCAAAAAAUCACCGCCCCAGUCGUGGAAGGCGCCAAGUAUGGGGUAGUGAAUGUCAUGAACCCAAGCUCCUGACCUGGCAGGAAAGCAGGAUUUGUACCGAGGAAAGAGCAUAGUUAAAGCAGCCUGCUGUGAAGGACUUGGAGAUGAAUUCGGUACUCUGUUUCUAGCUUAAGAGCCUUUAUAUAUUUUUUUAUUUUCUGAAUUCCGUUCUAAACUCAUAAUAGCUUAAAAGUAUUUAUAUUUUUUGAUCGUGUUGGUCUUCCAAUGGUGCAUUUUAUAAACUAGCAAAUCCCACCUAUAAUCUUUUAUCUACUGAACAAAUGGAGGCUAAAUUAGAUACUAUACCCCUGAAGUUUGUCCUUAGUUUAAAAAAUAUCUCUAUUUUCAAAAGUUGCAAUAUUACCUUGUCUUUUUUAUAAAGGUUUCAAAAUAACACUUGGAGUGAAAAAAAUCAUUAGAAUUUUGGACAGAAAGUUGAGUGUCUGGAUGUUGUUUUUUUGACGUAAUCCAUGCAAUCAUUGUUGGAAUAAAUGAUAGUGAUCAUUCGUGUAGAGUUGUAUCGUUUCAUAAGUGAACAUGUCUUUUCGUAAAUAACCAACUUGAUGAAGAGACACGACUAUUCAAAUGGAUGAAUAGUCUAUAAAUAUGUCUCUUCUUCAAAUUGCAUUUUAUAACUUUUUCAUAAUCACUUUUCUCCUUGAAACUCUCUCUUGUUUUAUCAAGUUUUUGAAGUUCGGUUUAUUUUCACAAAGUAUAGUCUGUUAGAUCUUGUGGACGAGGUGCUGCUUCUAUAAAAAAGUUAGUCUAUUCUAUCAUGGGAUACAAUUACUCAAGAAACUCAAGCACUAGAGUGAGUAAUAUUGUCUUAAGGAGACAACGUGAAAUCAUUGGGCUCGGGAUCCUUCGUGUUUAUAAGGUUAUGUAUUUUUUCAUAUUUUUGGUAAAAUUAUUCAUAUAACAAUCUUAAGACAAUUUUAAUUGGAUUUGGUUUUAUUUUUGUCAUUAUGCAUGAUGCAAUCAUUAAAUAAUUGAUAUGAGAUUUCAUUUUUUUUCUAUUACUCAUACAUGGAUCUUAUUGUUUUUUCAUGAAUGUGUUUUAUGUAAAUUUGUCGUGAGGUCUUUUUUGGUUCUUUUUUUUUUUUUUUUAAAGAAAAAAAUCCAUAAGUUAAAUCUGAGUUGUAUGUGUGGGUUUUACCUGAUUUUAGUGCAUUUGGUUUUUUAGUUGAUUUAGUGUUAUGACUCAACAAAUGAGAAUCUUGUUGGAAUCAUCAAAUUAGGAUGUAAAAUGAGAUUUACCUUUUAUUCCUCCAAAUCUUCAUCUCAUUCUAAGUAAAACUUCAUGCAUCGAAAUUGUUAAUAUUCUCGUUUUAUUUAUUUUCUGAUUUUCAUGUGCUUUAUUUAUGCAUGAAGUUUUGUAGUGUGAAAAUUGUUAAUUUGCACUCAAGUGAUAGUUGCAUAAAAGUGUUUUCAAGUGAGAUUGGCAUGAAAUGAUUUUGAAGAGUUUCUGAAUUUAUUUUAUUAUUUUCCGUGCGUUUUUGUUCUAUAUUUACUCUUCGACUGGAUUUAGAAAAACAAAAAUAAACACAGAAAAAAACCAGAUUUUGUUCUUUCCUUCCCUUAUUCUGUGCUCUUCACUUUGCAUCACAAACCCCACGAAAAUCUUUGAAGAAUUUUUUUCCUUAUCUACCUUUUUCUUGAUGUAAUCACUAACUUCUAGUGAUUUUGCAAAAGAUGUUGAUAAAUUUUGUUUGAUUUUGGGUUGUGGAUUUGUGGUUUUUAAGCAUCAUGAGAAACACUUAUCAUGUUUGAUGGAAUGAGCAAUGUGGAUUCUAAACUUAAAAUUUGAUGGCAAGAUAAAUUGUUAUUCAUCAACUUGGGCAAAUUUUUUUUUAAUACUAUAUUUUCUUUGGCAUAUAUAUAAUUUUGGCAUGCGUUGAUCGUUUGGCAUAUGUGCAGUGGGUUAUUUUUAUUUUAUGCACUAAUUUUUAUUUUACAGUUAUAUCUAUGACAACAGGGUUUUAAGUCGUGUACUGCAAAAAAUUGGCGUAUUACGGUCAAUUGUUACUAUUAUAUAAUGUUCUCAUAUUAUUUUACAUUUCAAGCCUAAUGAAUAAUGUCCCAAGUUUAUUUGUUGUCUUAUUGAUUUUAUUUUGUGAGAAA